UAGCGGGGACAGGAUUCGAACCUGCGACCUCUGGGUUAUGAGCCCAGCGAGCUACCGAGCUGCUCCACCCCGCG
Molecule: transfer RNA, 74 nt
Filed under: Mycobacterium tuberculosis 49-02
Lineage: Bacteria; Bacillati; Actinomycetota; Actinomycetes; Mycobacteriales; Mycobacteriaceae
Description: tRNA-Met
Source: RNAcentral